UACGGAAGGGGCAAGCGUUGUUCGGAAUCAUUGGGCGUAAAGGGCGUGUAGGUGGUUCUGUAUGUCUACCGUGAAAGCGUACGGCUCAACCGUAUUUUGUCGGUAGAAACUGCAGGACUUGAGGCUGGGAGGGGCUGGUGGAAUUCCCUGUGUAGCGGUGAAAUGCGUAGAGAUGGGGGAGAACACUCGUGGCGAAGGCGGCCAGCUAGACCAGUUCUGACACUGAGGCGCGACAGCGUGGGGAGCAAACAGG
This 253-nucleotide ribosomal RNA is filed under the name uncultured bacterium. RNAcentral describes it as "partial 16S ribosomal RNA". It matches the Rfam family "Bacterial small subunit ribosomal RNA", at positions 524 to 776 of the family's 1533-position model. The record is from RNAcentral.